This 494-nucleotide ribosomal RNA is filed under the name Isochrysis galbana. RNAcentral's name for it is "partial Bacterial large subunit ribosomal RNA". It matches the Rfam family "Bacterial large subunit ribosomal RNA", at positions 658 to 1146 of the family's 2925-position model. The record is from RNAcentral. Lineage: Eukaryota; Haptophyta; Isochrysidales; Isochrysidaceae.
AUACGGAGCCGUAGCGAAAGCGAGUCUGAAUAGGGCGUAUAGUUAGGUUGAGUAGACGCGAAACCGAGUGAUCUACCCAUGGGCAGGUUGAAGCUGUGGUAACACACAGUGGAGGACCGAACCAGUUGACGUUGAAAAGUCUUUGGAUGACCUGUGGGUAGGGGUGAAAGGCCAAUCAAACUGGGAAAUAGCUCGUACUCCCCGAAAUGCAUUUAGGUGCAGCGUUGAGUAAAAGUUUUAUAGAGGUAGAGCUACUGAUUGGAUGCGGGGGCUUCACCGCCUACCAAUUCCUGACAAACUCCGAAUGCUAUAAAAUGAUGAUCAGCAGUGAGGGCAUGGGUGCUAAGGUCCAUGUCCGAGAGGGAAAGAACCCAGACCAUCAGCUAAGGUCCCAAAAUGUAUACUAAGUUGAAAAAACGCGGUUGAACUGCAUAGACAGCUAGGAUGUUGGCUUGGAAGCAGCCAUUCAUUUAAAGAGUGCGUAACAGCUCACU